Molecule: ribosomal RNA, 712 nt
Filed under: Phellorinia herculeana
Lineage: Eukaryota; Fungi; Basidiomycota; Agaricomycetes; Agaricales; Agaricaceae
Description: eukaryotic LSU rRNA
Rfam family: 5.8S ribosomal RNA (bases 297-450)
Source: RNAcentral
AAGGAUCAUUAUUGAAUAAACCUGAUGGGCUGUCGCUGGCUCCUUACAGGAGCAUUGUGCACGCCUGUCAUCUUUAUCUAUCCACCUGUGCACCAUUUGUAGUCUUGGAGUAAUAAGCGUUGAAGGACCUCUCGAGAGGCUGAGUCUCUUGGAAAUGGGGGACUGCUGCAUGAGAAAUGUGGCUGACCCCCCAAUCCUCACGCGAGUUCUUCAGGUCUAUGUCCUUUCAUACAUACACCACAUAACAUGUUUCUGAAUGUAUCAUUUUGGGCCUCAGUGCCUAUAAAACAUAAUACAACUUUCAGCAACGGAUCUCUUGGCUCUCGCAUCGAUGAAGAACGCAGCGAAAUGCGAUAAGUAAUGUGAAUUGCAGAAUUCAGUGAAUCAUCGAAUCUUUGAACGCACCUUGCGCUCCUUGGUAUUCCGAGGAGCAUGCCUGUUUGAGUGUCAUUAAAUUCUCAACCCCUCCAGCCUUUUGUGGGUUGGUUUUGGUGGAUUGGAUGUUGGGGGUAUUCAUCUGCAGGCCUCUUUCUCAAGGUCAGCUCCCCUGAAAUGCAUUAGUGGAACCGUUUGCGGACCCGUUGUUGGUGUGAUAAUUAUCUACGCCAAAUUGCAUGAUGGAUCGCUCUCUUGGUGUUCUGCUUCUUAAUUGUCCAUUAAUGUGGACGAAUGAAACUCUGAAUUGUUUGACCUCAAAUCAGGUAGGACUACC